This 600-nucleotide ribosomal RNA is filed under the name uncultured bacterium. RNAcentral describes it as "bacterial SSU rRNA". It matches the Rfam family "Bacterial small subunit ribosomal RNA", at positions 724 to 1328 of the family's 1533-position model. The record is from RNAcentral.
GCGCACGAGCCCUCAACUGACGCUAAUGCUCGAAGGUGCGGGUAUCGAACAGGAUUAGAUACCCUGGUAGUCCGCACGGUAAACGAUGGAUGCCCGCUGUCUGCGAUACAAUGUAGGCGGCCAAGCGAAAGCGUUAAGCAUCCCACCUGGGGAGUACGCCGGCAACGGUGAAACUCAAAGGAAUUGACGGGGGCCCGCACAAGCGGAGGAACAUGUGGUUUAAUUCGAUGAUACGCGAGGAACCUUACCCGGGCUUGAACUGCAGGGGAACGCGGCAGAGAUGCCAAGGUCAGCAAUGACCCCUGUGGAGGUGCUGCAUGGUUGUCGUCAGCUCGUGCCGUGAGGUGUCGGCUUAAGUGCCAUAACGAGCGCAACCCCUUUCGCCAGUUGCCAGCACGCGAUGGUGGGCACUCUGGGGACACUGCCACCGUAAGGUGCGAGGAAGGUGGGGAUGACGUCAAAUCAGCACGGCCCUUACGUCCGGGGCUACACACGUGUUACAAUGGGGGGUACAGAGAGCUGGCCGCUCGCAAGUGCGGCCGAAUCAUGAAAGCCUCCCUCAGUUCGGAUUGGGGUCUGCAACCCGACCCCAUGAAGCUG